GUAAACCAUAGCGAGCAAACCGUGGCGGCAUCGCAAGGCGUCGUCGCGGUUAAUAAGGAUAACCCUGGUAAUUCUGAGGCUAAUACAAGAACGUACAACCCACCCGACCCGCAAGGGAAGGGGGGGGAAUGUGUGACCAGGCACGCAAAUUCGAAACUGGGAGUGGCCACACGUUCAGACCGUCAUACCAAACAGUCGCUCGCUUUGAAAGUCCUCGUGACGAGUAAACGGCGGGCUUCUGGGCGGCUCUCGCUGUGUGCUUCUGACCUAUCAACUAGAUGGCAGCGUAACGGACAUGCUAUGGUGACAACGGGUACAGAGGAUAAGGGUUCGAUCCUGGAGAGUGGGCCUGAGAGAUU
Molecule: ribosomal RNA, 359 nt
Filed under: Badhamia albescens
Lineage: Eukaryota; Evosea; Eumycetozoa; Physariida; Physaraceae
Description: SSU rRNA
Rfam family: Eukaryotic small subunit ribosomal RNA
Source: RNAcentral